RNAcentral lists this ribosomal RNA (440 nucleotides) under uncultured bacterium. RNAcentral's name for it is "bacterial SSU rRNA". It matches the Rfam family "Bacterial small subunit ribosomal RNA", at positions 338 to 795 of the family's 1533-position model. The record is from RNAcentral.
CCUACGGGGGGCAGCAGUGAGGAAUCUUCCACAAUGGACGAAAGUCUGAUGGAGCGACACCGCGUGAAGGAUGAAGGCCUAACGGUUGUAAACUUCUUUUCUGAAGGAGCAUAAUGAGAGUACUUCAGGAAUAAGGGACGGCUAAAUACGUGCCAGCAGCCGCGGUAAUACGUAUGUCUCGAGCGUUACCCGGAAUUACUGGGUGUAAAGGGUUCGUAGGCGGUUUAAUAAGUUAGAUAUGAAAGACCAGAGCUCAACUCUGUGAUGGUGUUUAAAACUGUUAAGCUAGAAUCAGAGAGAGGUAAGUGGAAUUCUGUGUGUAGAGGUGUAAUCCGUAGAUACUCAGAGGAACACCAAUAGCGAAGGCAACUUACUGGAUCUGUAUUGACGCUCAUGAACGAAAGCGUGGGUAGCGAAAAGGAUUAGAUACCCUAGUAGUC